This 117-nucleotide ribosomal RNA is filed under the name uncultured Sebacinaceae. Its description in RNAcentral is "5.8S ribosomal RNA". It matches the Rfam family "5.8S ribosomal RNA", at positions 1 to 114 of the family's 154-position model. Rfam says of the family: 5.8S ribosomal RNA (5.8S rRNA) is a component of the large subunit of the eukaryotic ribosome. It is transcribed by RNA polymerase I as part of the 45S precursor that also contains 18S and 28S rRNA. Lineage: Eukaryota; Fungi; Basidiomycota; Agaricomycetes; Sebacinales; Sebacinaceae. The record is from RNAcentral.
UACAACUUUCAACAACGGAUCUCUUGGCUCUCGCAUCGAUGAAGAACGCAGCGAAAUGCGAUAAGUAAUGUGAAUUGCAGAAUUCAGUGAAUCAUCGAAUCUUUGAACGCACCUUGC